AAACUGCGAUAAGUAGUGUGAAUUGCAUUUAGUGAAUCAUCGAAUCUUUGAACGCACCUUGCACUCACUGGUAUUCCGGUGAGUACGCCUGUUUCAGUAUCAUUGAAAACACACAAUCAAAACAUUUUCUUUGGUUUGAUUGGCUUUGGGUCUAUCAAAAAGUUUGGCUUGUUUCUUACAAGCCAAGCGGCCUGAAAUAUAUUGUCUGGCUAAUUGCAUCGUUGAUGAUCGCUAUUAGACUUUGGCUUUUUUAAAUGAACUGGAGGUUGAUUAACCAGUUUUAGCUUUAGUCAAAUGGUCAUUGUAAAAAAAAUCUCGAUCUUGGCUAGGUGUUUAUAGCCGAAAAUUUUUUUUUGGUUAUAACCGAAACCAAUAUAAUCACAUUUAGUUAUCGAUCUGAAAUCAGGUGGGACUACCCGCUGAACUUAAGC
This 431-nucleotide unclassified non-coding RNA is filed under the name plant metagenome. RNAcentral's name for it is "partial contains 5.8S ribosomal RNA, internal transcribed spacer 2, and large subunit ribosomal RNA". The stretch from base 1 to 102 matches the Rfam family "5.8S ribosomal RNA", at positions 50 to 154 of the family's 154-position model. The record is from RNAcentral.